This is a long non-coding RNA of Lolium rigidum, 236 nucleotides long. RefSeq lists it as uncharacterized. The transcript has 3 exons. The record is from RefSeq and is a predicted model, not a curated record. NCBI's taxonomy places the organism in Eukaryota, Viridiplantae, Streptophyta, Magnoliopsida, Poales, Poaceae.
UGACGGUUGUAGCAGAGUGGGACCUCAAGAGAGCGGCUUGGGAAGAGUACCAGGAGGCGACGAGUCGUGCGCUCAGGACGUUCUUCUUGACUGGAGAGAGGAUCGCACUUCCGGCCGAGGAGCCAGCUAGGCCGGGGCCGACUCCAGUGUGCCCAUCGAGGGAAGCUUUCGCGGCCACAUACUACGCACGGACUCCGGGCACGGGAAGUUCGCGGAACCGACCCUCUCCUGGUUCG